Molecule: transfer RNA, 70 nt
Filed under: uncultured Phycisphaerae bacterium
Lineage: Bacteria; Pseudomonadati; Planctomycetota; Phycisphaerae
Description: tRNA-His-GTG
Rfam family: tRNA
About the family: Transfer RNA (tRNA) molecules are approximately 80 nucleotides in length. Their secondary structure includes four short double-helical elements and three loops (D, anti-codon, and T loops). Further hydrogen bonds mediate the characteristic L-shaped molecular structure. tRNAs have two regions of fundamental functional importance: the anti-codon, which is responsible for specific mRNA codon recognition, and the 3' end, to which the tRNAs corresponding amino acid is attached (by aminoacyl-tRNA synthetases). tRNAs cope with the degeneracy of the genetic code in two manners: having more than one tRNA (with a specific anti-codon) for a particular amino acid; and 'wobble' base-pairing, i.e. permitting non-standard base-pairing at the 3rd anti-codon position.
Source: RNAcentral
GUGCCCGUGUUGUAGUGGCAGCAUCCAACACUGUGAAUGUUGUGGCGAGGGUUCGAUUCCCCCGGGCACC